This 618-nucleotide long non-coding RNA is filed under the name Bos taurus (domestic cattle). Its description in RNAcentral is "long non-coding RNA NONBTAT006243". Lineage: Eukaryota; Metazoa; Chordata; Mammalia; Artiodactyla; Bovidae. The record is from RNAcentral.
CACACAGUACCUCCUCUUCUCUUCUAUUUUUAGGAAGAAGCUUUAACAAGUUUUAAAUGUCUCAAUUCUCAAAAACAAUAGGCUUUUUAAAAAAUAAGACUUGAUUACCAGAAACAAGUAAUAUGUGGUUACAUACCAUUUUCAUACCAUUACUCAUUUCAAUUUAUCUUUGAUGCAACCUGGGAACAAUUAAGCAGUCACUAGAUACCUGUUUUAGAAUCUGAAGAAAUUAUUAUCCACCACAGGAAUCUAAUGAUAUAUGUUUUUGCAUAUAGUUAAAAUUUCAAAAGGGAAAAAAGUAGCUAACUAUUCUCAUUACUUUGUACCAAAUAUUUAUAUACCUAGUCAAAACAAUAAAGAUCAAGAUCUUUCUCCAGAUGAACUGUAUAUAAAAGCUAUUUUUAGCAUUUUCUUCCAGGGAUUAAAAAAAAAAGUCUUAUUUCCCUGCUGGCUAAAAAGGAGGAAUUUAAAUUCCUUAAGAGAACUGCCAUAAAAUUUGUUUUUAAAAAUUUAUCUUAAAAAACUGAAAACCAUUUCUCUCUUUAAAAUCUAUGGCAUUAAUUACCUACUUGACUUUUUAUUUUUUGAAAGGGCACCAAGUUUGUGAUCUAAGCAUGC